CAAAAUCCAAAAGAACAAAACAUCAUCAUCUCAACACAUUAACUUUAGGACAGUUUCCAUUGUCUUUCGCACAAUUCUCAUAUCAGAAUCUUGAGAAACCAAGAAAAGAAAAGAGAGAAUGUGUUUUAAUUUAGGGUACAAUUUCAAGAAGGGAAAGUUUGUUCGAGUGAAGGAAAGCGAUGAUGAUGAUGACGACGGUGGUGGCAAGGGAUUAGAAGGGAAGGGUUUGCUUUCUAAGGAGAUCCACAGAUGGCAGAAACAACAAGAGUUGUUAAAUCAAGUACAAGCAUGCAAACCUUCAUCAAAGUGCAAUCAUUUAUCCUCUUCCUCUUGAUUUAUUUAUAUUAUUUGAGUAUUUCUGUUUGCAUCUUCAAGAAAAUGUAACAUUUCCCAAAUGUUGCUGUAAGUAGGCCUUUUUGGUUUGUUUUUUGUUUUUAACUAAUAAGAUUGGCUUGCUCUAAAAAAUGGUGGGGGAAAAGAAAUACACAAGUACAAGAUGCAUAAGGUUUUCU
RNAcentral lists this long non-coding RNA (512 nucleotides) under Ricinus communis (castor bean). Its description in RNAcentral is "long non-coding RNA (RCOM_LNC002383)". Lineage: Eukaryota; Viridiplantae; Streptophyta; Magnoliopsida; Malpighiales; Euphorbiaceae. The record is from RNAcentral.